This is a long non-coding RNA of Esox lucius (northern pike), 785 nucleotides long. NCBI's taxonomy places the organism in Eukaryota, Metazoa, Chordata, Actinopteri, Esociformes, Esocidae. The record is from Ensembl.
GUGUGUUUGGUGUUCGGGGUAAGGUGUGUUUGGUGUUCGGGGUAAGGUGUGUCUGGUGUUCGGGGUAAGGUGUGUUUGGUGUUCGGGGUAAGGUGUGUUUGGUGUUCGGGGUAAGGUGUGUCUGGUGUUCGGGGUAAGGUGUGUUUGGUGUCCGGGCUAAGGGGUGUUUGGUGUUUCUGGGUAAAGUGUGUUUGGUGUCCGGGGUAAGGGGUGUUUGGUGUUUCUGGAUAAAGUGUGUCUGGUGUUCGGGGUAAGUCGUGUCUGGUGUUCGGAGUAAGGUGUCUCUGGUGUUCGGGGUAAGGUGUGUCUGGUGUUCGGGGUAAGGUGUGUAUGGUGUUCGGGGUAAGGUGUGUUUGGUGUUCGGGGUAAGUUGUGUCUGGUGUUCGGGGUAAAGUGUGUCUGGUGUUCGGGGUAAGGUGUGCCUGGUGUUCGGGGUAAGGUGUGUCUGGUGUUCGGGGUAAGUUGUGUCUGGUGUUCGGGGUAAGGUGUGUCUGGUGUUCGGGGUAAGGUGUGUCUGGUGUUCUGGGUAAGGUUAGGGGGGCUUUUUUGUCCGUGUUUGGUGUUAGAGGUGGUGUGUGUGAUGGUGUUGGGGUGGUAUUUGUGUUCGGGGUGGUGUGUCUGUGUGUUUGCUGUUAGUGGUGGUACAUGUGUGUGUUUCUGUUAGGGGUGGUACGUGUGUGUGUUUCUGUUAGGGGUGGUACGUGUGUGUGUUUCUGUUAGGGGUGGUACGUGUGUGUGUUUCUGUUAGGGGUGGUACGUGUGCUACAGAAUAUGUGGGAAUGCCC